AUUGAACGCUGGCGGCAGGCCUAACACAUGCAAGUCGAGCGGAUGAAGGGAGCUUGCUCCUGGAUUCAGCGGCGGACGGGUGAGUAAUGCCUAGGAAUCUGCCUGGUAGUGGGGGAUAACGUCCGGAAACGGGCGCUAAUACCGCAUACGUCCUGAGGGAGAAAGUGGGGGAUCUUCGGACCUCACGCUAUCAGAUGAGCCUAGGUCGGAUUAGCUAGUUGGUGGGGUAAAGGCCUACCAAGGCGACGAUCCGUAACUGGUCUGAGAGGAUGAUCAGUCACACUGGACCUGAGACACGGUCCAAACUCCUACGGGAGGCAGCAGUGGGAAAUAUUGGACAAUGGGCGAAGGCCUGAUCCAGCCAUGCCGCGGGUGUGAAGAAGGUCUUCGGAUUGUAAAGCACUUUAAGUUGGGAGGAAGGGCAGUAAGUUAAUACCUUGCUGUUUUGACGUUACCAACAGAAUAAGCACCGGCUAACUUCGU
RNAcentral lists this ribosomal RNA (483 nucleotides) under uncultured bacterium. RNAcentral's name for it is "partial 16S ribosomal RNA". It matches the Rfam family "Bacterial small subunit ribosomal RNA", at positions 30 to 506 of the family's 1533-position model. The record is from RNAcentral.